AAAAGCAGCCUGAAAACCAGUAGAUCCAUCUGUCCUGGGAUUGUGCCUUGCAAAAGCUUUGAUAUGCGUUUAGGCCCACAUGGAGUGACUCGGCAGUGGUCUCUGUAGAGAACCACAAGAGUACAGUCAUGUGCUGAUGUGCUGGACCUCGCAGGCCAAAGGACAAGACACCCAAGCGUUUGAACAGGAUCAUUUCUUGAGGUGGUUCUCUUUGUAGUCAUGUCUCUACUUGCAUAUUGUCUGGGAGAGGGGAAUAUCCUUCUUUCCCUCCCCUAUCAGCUCCGUUUCUAUUGGCAAGGGUCACUGUCAGACUAAUGGAAAGAGUUCCUCGUUAGAACUUUGAAGUUCAUACUAGAUGCUAUUGGGGUGGUGAAAUAGGCUUCCUCUCCCUGCAGGACAAAGGGUAAUUUCUGUAAAGUUGCUUACCUGUGGGAAACAGGCCUGUGGUGGAAGCUGGUAGUGACCAUUGCCAGUUUUCAGUAAGGCAUUUAGAGCGAUCUGAGUAGUGUCCUCUGGCCCCAUUAUGGCCCUGUGUGUGUCCUGCGAAGCUGAGAUGCUGUUGGUAUCUAUGUGGGAUGCUAUGUUGUAUACAGCAUUGAAAACAUGAUGCUUCUGUAUGUAGUGGUGCCUGCUCUAAAUAAAACAGGGCAGCCUGCCCUCGGAAAUAGGUUAAUUCCUCUCCUCUUUCUUCUUCACACAGGCACUGGCUCGCUCUGUUGCUGUCACUAGGACUUCAUCCUGUUAAUGCAUGUGCAGGGCGAUAAUCGAGCUGCAAAAGUCAUGGUCAGGGAGAACAGACUGUACUAGUUAGGUACGCGAGGUGAUGCAUAAUGUGGCCCAUCUAACCAGAAGUGGCAGCUGGAAGUUCUAAGGCUCAAGUGCUACCAUAACAGAUGGGCAUCAUUGUUUGGAAUGGCCUCUGCUUGUUGCAACUGUGUAGACUGGUUAUCAGUCAACGUAUUAAGCAGGGCUGAAAUGCCGUCCUGCAAUAAUGGUCACAAAUAUGCCCAUAUGCUGAUUCCUACUCCGGAUAAAGAUGAUGAUCCAGUUGGUAUUGACUACUCCCACUUUAUACAUCUCAGUGUUGUCCCAACCAGGGCUUCGCCGUUACCAGUUCUAGGCUGGGCAAACAGAGAGGAUGUAUGGAAAAACAUGAUAAACAAGGAAGAAACCUAUGUGAGGGAUAAACUCUAUAUGCAAAGGCACCCUCUCCUGCAACCUAAAAUGAGAACAAUCCUCCUAGACUGGCUGAUGGAGGUUUGUGAAGUCUACAAGCUUCAUAGAGAAACUUUUUAUUUAGCGCAAGAUUUCUUUGAUCGGUUUAUGGCCACACAACAGAAUGUUGUAAAAACACUAUUGCAGCUUAUUGGCAUCUCGUCUUUAUUCAUAGCAGCAAAGCUUGAGGAAAUUUAUCCACCAAAAUUGCACCAGUUUGCCUAUGUUACAGAUGGAGCUUGUACAGAAGAUGAGAUCCUCAGUAUGGAACUGAUCAUUAUGAAGGCUCUUAACUGGAACCUAAAUCCACUGACAGUCGUAUCAUGGCUAAACAUUUACAUGCAAGUUGCAUAUUUAAAUGAGCUUUAUGAGGUAUUGCUGCCACAAUAUCCACAGCAAAUAUUUGUACAAAUAGCAGAGCUCUUGGAUCUCUGUGUGCUGGAUAUAGGCUGCUUGGAAUAUACGUAUGGAAUACUUGCAGCUUCUGCUUUGUAUCAUUUCUCCUCAUCAGAGUUGAUGCAGAAAGUUUCAGGUUACAAAUGGUGUGAGAUAGAAGAAUGUGUGAAAUGGAUGGUUCCAUUUGCGAUGGCUCUAAGGGAAGUAGGAAGCUCGAAACUCAAACACUUUAGAGGUAUAGCUCCUGAAGACUUGCACAAUAUACAGACGCACAUAAACAGCUUGGAUUUGCUGGACAAAGCUCAAGCAAAACAAGCCAUAUUGGCUGAGCAAAAUAGGACUUCACCUUUCCCCAGUGGUGUCCUUACACCACCACAAAGCAGUAAGAAGCAGCCUUCUGCUCUGAAGCCGAUAUGACUGCAGAAACUGCCAACGGACCACUUUGAAGUGCCUGUUCUGGUUCCAACCCCAGCUUCAUUAUGGAAAUGCUGCUGGUGAAGUUCAUAAGCUUUCAUGGAAUCUAAAAGGAAACCUUACUUUUUUUCGUGACAGAAGAUUUUUUUCUAUUUGAAAUAUUUUUAUUGAACAUUAAAGUAUUUUAAAGGAAUGGAUCAAGUAUACCAGCCACUGAGAAGAACACGGAAGAGUGCUCCCGAUGCUGCUAUGGAGGGUGAUACUUGAUGUGACCAGCUGUUCAGGAAAAGGGCUUGAAGUUCAGAUUAGUUGCUCCUUUGGAUAACUGGCAGUUGUGCUGUCCCCUGUUGACAAACGAGCAAAAAGUGCUGUGGAAAACAAUUUCAAAGCCUCUUUUUCAAACAGUUGGCUUACAACUUGACACCUUUUUAGAAACUCUUUAUUGUUCUCUGGCUACACCUAUGGAUUCUUCUGUCUGUUGGGAUUGUGCUGUAUUGCUAGGAUAGCUUGAAAAACUUGUGUGCUGGCUGCCACAGACGGAAGACAGUUUUAGGGAGGAGUUGUGCAGGAGCUGCUUGUCUGAAGUACCAGCAGGUGGAGUCCAUCGGAGGACAGGAGAGUCUGGCAGGAGCCAGAGAAACUCGAUUUUGUAAGCAAGCGCUGACUGAAAACCUUUGCCAUGUGAGAUGCAGUCUGGAAACCUUUACUAAAGGACUUGGGCGAUACUGAAGCAUCGACCUUUGUGGAAAGCAGCUUUGCUCAGAGCCUGGAUCCUGCAAACACAGAUAGCAGCUAAAGGGUUAUUGCUUCUCCCCGACGUCGCCUGUGGAUUUUCUCAGCCUGCUCUCACUGAAUUUGGUCCUUAGCUCAUGAUGUCUCUACCAGGCAUUAUCAGCCCAUACAUCUGCAGUCUGGAGAAGUUUGCUGUGUCCCAAGGCAGAUGUCACUCAGCUCACAGUGUGUGUGGUGUGCUGUGGGGCUUCCUGAGCUGGUGCUGGUGCAGCUCUCCAGCCCUCGUAGCAGUGCAGCCAGUGAGCACUGACACCACCUGCAGCGAAUCCAGGCGCCUUCCCAGAAGAUGUCAUCAUCAUUAGGAAUAAGAGGAGUUAGUGACACCAAGCCUGCUACAUAAGGCAGUUUGAGAAGAGCCUCCCCUCACCCACCCUCCUGCAAAUCUCCACCUCCGAUGGAACUGGGCUUUUCCAGUCAUUUCAGGUAAUGCGUGUAGCAUGGCAGCUCGCUCCAGCGCGUGGCAGUAUUCUCAAAGUAUUGUCCACCAGCUUCUGAUUUAAUUUCAGAUGAUCUUAGUCCAGGCGAAAAAAUGCAGCCUAUGCCAAUCAAGAAAUGUAGAGCAUGCAGCAAGUACAGUUCAAAAACUGCAUUACCCUUAUCUAUUAGUAAUGAUCAAUUAGCAUGAAGGUCAGUGGGCAGCUUGGAAAUGAGUCAGAUAAGAAGGGCAAAAGGAGGGUUUGAAUGGAAAGGAAAUUCUUGAUUCAUACUCAGUGUUUAAAGUCAUAACUCUGUAACAGCGGGGGCGGAGGGUAACGUUAAGUAGUCCGGCUGUCACACUGACUCAACCAGAGUGUAAAUUAUGGUGCAGAGAGUGUUGUGAAGAGUUGUGUGAUGGAAUGAUAUAGUCUUGCUUGUUUUUUCAAGUUUACGUAUCCCAGGUUUUCACCGUUGCUGUGGAGUAGGGGGUGGAUGGGUGAACAUAAAUCUGUCACUUCUGUGUGUGUGAAGUUUAUUUCUCCCAUGCAUACAUCCAUACGCACACGCAUCGAGGCUUAAGAGAACACUUUGCUUCCUUCCGCACUGGGUAUGUGAAGGAUCACACAGGCACUGCGCUUCCAGGUUCUGUCUCUGAAAUACGGUAUGUUCUGGCCUGCAAGCUUAAAACAUCCGGAUGAAACGAUGUUUUAAAGCAUCAGAGUGGAACACGCAGGGUUUCUUCUCUGUUCUCUGGAGGCUAAUUAAUCCCCUUAUGAUAGAGAUGGUAGUGAAAUAGGUGUUCUUGGUACCAAGGAGCUGCACUGCCCGUUGAAGAUGAUGAAACAUAAGUACAGAAGAGAAUUGGUAGGGGCAGGGUAAAACCAGUGAUCCCGCCUCUAACAGUUUACUUUGAUGAAUGCACUCAUUCACUCAGCUUCCCCAUUUGGAUCCUGCAUAAUCAGAGAUAAUGGGUGGAUGGUUUGCAUGAAUAACUAAGUUUGUCGUGUUUAAUUUUCUUUAAAAAAAGAAAGAGCAGUUGCUUUACGAUUAUCCUUCGGGCCCGAUACAUAUUUAUAAAUUGUCAGGAAAUGAAAAGCCUUUUAAUGGCAUGCAAGAAGCAUGCAGAGCUACCGCGAGCAAGAACUGGAGGAGCAGGGGCGUGGGGAACAGAGCUGCCCGCCUGCAGCAUGUGGGGCUCACCUUGCUUCACUGGCAGGGAGGGGAGGGCAGAGGGUGCUGAGCAGGCUGUUGGAGUUAUUAGGAUGCGCAGCACUGACAUUUGUUUUCUGUUCUGCAGACGGUGUCUUCUGACAACUUGACGUUGCGCAGCAAGAAGCAUUAAAACUGAAAACCAAACCAGCAGUUGGCAGCUCCUUCUGAGACGGCACAUGGCUGCACACGGUACUGCCAACAUCCAAAGCCAAUCUCCAGAUCGUUUCUGAAGGCUGUUGAGGAGCUCCAUCGGUUUGGCUUUCACAUCUCCUACCAACAAAAACUAGGUUCAUCUGAGCACCAACUGGAGUUUUGGGAUCUUCUCACCAUCAGCCUCAGCCAAUAAUUGAGAAGUUUCCCUUGUGGAUUUCUUCAGUUUCACAGGAACCUGGAUGUUCACUCACUGUUCGCUCUUGCGUGGUGAUGUUUUCCAGCUGAUAGUAAAGAAAUGUCUCUGUCUGAUCAUGCAUCCCCUUGCACAGAGAGAAGUGAAGGAACUGAGCCUUGUCUCACUGGGGCAGGUCAGAGCAUGCUCUAUAACAACCUCUUUCUCUCUUCCCUUCCCACUCUUGGUUCCUGAGCUAUAGGUUGGUCUCGGGUUUUGUGUUGGACCUCACAGCUAGAGCUUGCUGAGUGCCCUCUGCCUGGACAGGAGUGGAUGUGCCAGACCUUAAGCUCCUCUCUUUUCUCCUCCAGGCCCUGGAUGGAAAUGCAGCAGUCCAGGCUGAAACCUACUGAGUCACCUUGUCUUGACGGGUCAGUCUAAACUUCUGUACUUGUAGCUCGAGGUUCCCAUUAACUGUGGGAACCUGUUGCCCUGAGCCAAGACCUGGGAGAAAGGGAGUGUCCCAGGGGAAAGAUGCUGAAGUCUGGAAAACUUGUGAAAGUUCUGAAGAGCAGCCUGGUCUGUAACAGAAAACUUCAGGGUGGAGUUCAGUCCUAGGUGCAGGUGUGUUACUGGGACGGACAAGCCCUUGGCAGAGGCCUGGGGUAGGAUUUCACAUGGUGUGAAGUGCUGCUCCGUGGAGCAGAGGGGCUGUUUUGCCCUUCAGGUUGCAGCCCCUUUACUCUCCUCCUGUUUCUGGGCUGUGCAUGGCUCCGUGCUCUGCCUGGCCCAUCGCCAGCGCUUUCAGCUGGGUUUUACAGCAGCCUGGGGCAUGAAUGGUGACCCAAAGCCCUUGUAUGUAGGUGGGAUCCCCAGGGCAGUGCCAGUGAGACACAGGCGUUGGGGACUUGGGGCUGGCUGGUGCGGGCAGUGUGGCAGCGAGUCUGCAGUGUGCCCGAUUUAUGGGCAUUUACAUGGGAGAUUGCUCUGAUCUGAUUUGCAUAUGCAGUCAUAGUAAUCGCGGGCCAAUUAAACUUGCAGUUCAAAAAAUCUGGACCCGAAACCUUUACAAUUCAUACAAACACACUAAUCUGAGUGUAUAUGUCACUUCAUCAAAUUCAUGAAACCAUAAAUUGUUGGUGUCUGGCACUGCCAGCUGCAUGCGGGAGUCACUGGGGCUGGGCUGGAGGAGCCAUCGGCCCCAUGCAGCGACGGGGGAAGAUAUUUUUUAUGAGCUCUUCCCUAUUCAUGGAUUGAAUCGGAACUGUUAGGAUGUCAGCGUGAGAUUCAUUGUGAUAUCUAUGGAAGAUUUAUCUUUACUCUUGCAUGUUUUUAAAAUGUUGUCCUGGA
RNA transcript from Cuculus canorus (common cuckoo), 6121 nucleotides. It is a transcript of the gene named cyclin E1, with no coding region annotated. Lineage: Eukaryota; Metazoa; Chordata; Aves; Cuculiformes; Cuculidae. The record is from RefSeq and is a predicted model, not a curated record. The transcript is spliced from 15 exons.